This is a long non-coding RNA of Helianthus annuus (common sunflower), 430 nucleotides long. RefSeq lists it as uncharacterized. The transcript has 2 exons. NCBI's taxonomy places the organism in Eukaryota, Viridiplantae, Streptophyta, Magnoliopsida, Asterales, Asteraceae. The record is from RefSeq and is a predicted model, not a curated record.
ACAAAACUAUAUAAAUAUCUUGACAGAAAUUAAUCUUCAAAGAGCGUCAAACCACAUAUAAUUUCUCCUUCAAUAUUAAUCGCCAAUCUUCAUCGUUUCUAUCCACCCCUCAAUUCAGGAAAAAAAUAGAGAUUUAAUACAGUAUUCCACAACCAAAGGAAGAUUCGGCAGAGUUCAUUGUGAUUAUACGUGCGAAGUCUCAACCGUCUCCACGUUUCCUUCUUGGAUAUUUGCUUGUUUAUACUAUUUGCUAUAAUGUAUUAGUUUCCUUCUUGGCUUCUUUACUGCAUAUUCUAUUCUAUAUUUUCUUGUUUAUGCCAUUUGAUAUAAUUUAUUAGAUUAGUGGUGACUCCAUUUACUGUUAGUUUCUUUAUAUUAACUCCAUUUACUGUGUAAAAUAUUCGUUUAUUAUCAUUUUCAUUAUUGAUUA